GAUGAACGCUGGCGGCGUGCUUAACACAUGCAAGUCGAACGGAAAGGCCCAAGCUUGCUUGGGUACUCGAGUGGCGAACGGGUGAGUAACACGUGGGUGAUCUGCCCUGCACUUCGGGAGAAGCCUGGGAAACUGGGUCUAAUACCGGAUAGGACCACAUUUUGGAUGGGGUGGUGGAAAGUUUUUCGGUGUGGGAUGAGCUCGCGGCCUAUCAGCUUGUUGGUGGGGUAAUGGCCUACCAAGUCGUCGACGGGUAGCCGGCCUGAGAGGGUGUACGGCCACAUUGGGACUGCGAUACGGCCCAGAAUCCUACGGGAGGCAGCAGUGGGGAAUAUUGCACAAUGGGCGCAAGCCUGAUGCAGCGACGCCGCGUGGGGGAUGACGGCCUUCGGGUUGUAAACUCCUUUCGCUAGGGACGAAGCGUUAUGUGACGGUACCUGGAGAAGAAGCACCGGCUAACUACGU
Molecule: ribosomal RNA, 465 nt
Filed under: uncultured bacterium
Lineage: Bacteria
Description: partial 16S ribosomal RNA
Rfam family: Bacterial small subunit ribosomal RNA
Source: RNAcentral